RNAcentral lists this long non-coding RNA (1032 nucleotides) under Chloebia gouldiae (Gouldian finch). RNAcentral's name for it is "Erythrura gouldiae (Gouldian finch) lncRNA (ENSEGOG00005017618.1)". Lineage: Eukaryota; Metazoa; Chordata; Aves; Passeriformes; Passeridae. The record is from RNAcentral.
CCGGGCACGGAAUUCCCUCGGGAUAUCCUGGAUGGAGCCAGAGCCAAACCGAAUCCAAUUCCAAACCCAGUCCCAGAUCCAAUCCUGAGUCCAAUCCCAAAUCCAAACCCGAAUCCAAUCCCAAAUCCGAUCCCAAACCUAAUCCCAAACCCAAUCCUGAGUCCAAUCCCAAACCCAAUCCCAAAUCCAAACCCAAAUCCAAUCCCAAACCCAAUCCAAAAUCCAAUCCCAAACCAAAUCCCAAAUCCAAUCCUGAAUCCAACCCCAAACCCAGUCCCAGAUCCAAUCCAAAACUCAUUCAGAAUCCAAUUCCAGAUCCAAUUCCUGAUCCAAUCCCAAAUCCACCCCAGAUCCAAUCCCAAACCUAAUCCCAAAUCCAAUCCUGAAGCCAAUACCAAACCCAACCCCAGAUUCAAUCCCAAACCCAAAUCCGAUCCCAAUCCCAAAUCCAAACCCAGAUCUGACCCCAAAUCCAAUCCCAAUCCCAAAUCCAAUCCCAAACUCAAAUCCAACCCCACAUCCAAUUCCAAAUCCAGUCCCAAACCCAAAUUCAGUCCCAAUCCCAAAUCCAACCCCAGAUCCGACCCCAAAUCCAAUUCCAAACCCAAAUCCAACCCCAGAUCCAAUCCCAAAUCCAGUCCCAAACCCAAUCCAAUCUCAAACCCAAAUCCAAUCCCAAAUCCAACCCCAGAUCUGAUCCCAAAUCCAAUCCCAAACCCAAAUCCAACCCCAGAUCCGACCCCAAAUCCAAUCUCAAAUCCAAAUCCAACCACAGAUCUGAUCCCAAAUCCAAUCCCAUACCCAAAUCCAAUCCCAAUCCCAAAUCCAACCCCAGAUGCGAUCCCAAAUCCAAUCUCAAAUCCAAAUACAAUCCCAAACCCAAAUCCAAUCCCAAUCCUAAAUCCAACACCAGAUCCGAUCCCGAAUCCAAACCCAAACCCCAAUCCAAUCUCAAACCCAAAUCCAAUCCUAAACCCAAAUCCAACCCCAGAUCCAAUCCCAAAUCCAGUCCCAAACCCAAUCCCAAACUGA